GGGGUGCGUAGGGCGGCCUGUUAAGUCGAGGGGUGAAAGACGGUAGCUCAACUAUCGCAGUGCCCUUGAUACUGAUGGGCUUGAAUUGACUAGAGGUAGGCGGAAUGUGACAAGUAGCGGUGAAAUGCAUAGAUAUGUCACAGAACACCGAUUGCGAAGGCAGCUUACUAUGGUCUUAUUGACGCUGAGGCACGAAAGCGUGGGGAUCAAACAGGAUUAGAUACCCUGGU
Molecule: ribosomal RNA, 230 nt
Filed under: uncultured bacterium
Lineage: Bacteria
Description: partial 16S ribosomal RNA
Rfam family: Bacterial small subunit ribosomal RNA
Source: RNAcentral